UGUGCUACCAGCUUCUUUUGCCUGCCAAAGCAUAUAAUCAUGUCACUUAUUUAUCACAAGCAACAUAAGAAAUAUCAGAUACAACUUCACUACCAUGUGAAGAAAUCUUAUCUGUUUUGAUGAGAAAAGGUAAGUACCUAAUUAGCUGCUAGUCUAAUAGAAGAAUUCUAUCAGAUUGUUGAACAGUAUAUUGCAUUAACAAUAUCAAGUGUUUAUUUGUGAGGUGCUGUUUUUCCCCCUUCAGCUACCCUGUUUUGUGAACCAUACUUGAAAUGCAAAAAUGAAGCAAGUUCAUGAAAAAGCAAAGCAUAUCAAAACUAGGAUAGAUGCAUUGCUAGCAAUGUGAAUUGUUCAAUCUUGGCAUAAAAGUUCACUGAAACAAUAUAGCGUUUAUAUGAAGAAUGUUAAUCAGAAAACAUUCAACUUAAAUUAGCCAUGAAGGAAAGUGAACUCCAGAUACACAAUUAAGAGCAUAGUUUAGACUAGGACAAAUUUUCUGUUUGACAAAAAGGGGCAGGAUAUUUCUAUCAAACAAUCACAAUCCUAGGUAAAGCAUAAAUUUUUAUCACACAGGCCAUUAUGGUUCUAGUGGAAAGGUGAAGAUCAAAAUAAUUACAGCUUGAAAUGCUAGGAAGAAACUUG
Molecule: unclassified non-coding RNA, 642 nt
Filed under: Hevea brasiliensis (rubber tree)
Lineage: Eukaryota; Viridiplantae; Streptophyta; Magnoliopsida; Malpighiales; Euphorbiaceae
Source: RNAcentral